GGACACAGAGUGAACAUGAGGGCCCCCACUCAGCUCCUCAGUCUCCUUCUGCUCUGGCUCCGCCCAGGUGCCAGGUGUGACCUCCAGGUCACCCAGUCUCCAUCCUUCCUGUCUGCAUCUCUAGGAUGCAGAGUCUCCAUCACUUGCUGGGCCAGUCAGAGCAUUGACAGUGAACUAGACUGGUAUCCACAGAAACCAGGGCAAGAUUCUAAGCUCCUGAUCUAUUAUGCAACCAGACUGCACACCAGAAUCCCAUCCUGGUUCAGUGGCAGUGGAUCUGGGACAGAUUUCACCCUCACCAUCAGCAGUCUGGAGGCUGAAGAUGCUGCAACUUACUACUGUCAACAGGAUCAUAGUACACCUCCCACAGUGUUACACACCUAA
Dama dama (fallow deer) is the source of this 384-nucleotide non-coding RNA. NCBI's taxonomy places the organism in Eukaryota, Metazoa, Chordata, Mammalia, Artiodactyla, Cervidae. The record is from the annotation of a RefSeq genome assembly.